This 465-nucleotide long non-coding RNA is filed under the name Olea europaea subsp. europaea. The record is from RNAcentral. Lineage: Eukaryota; Viridiplantae; Streptophyta; Magnoliopsida; Lamiales; Oleaceae.
GAUUGUAGAAGGGUUUGAAUUCUUUCUGUAAGUCGUCUGUUAUUCUUCUGCAGUGAUUUAGUUUGUUUACAUGAAUUUAACAUUGAUUUCAGGCCAAAGUUCAAGAGCUAACUGAACAUAUUUUGAAAAGUCACAUUCCUCGAUCAGUGACUGUUCAUUUUAGAGAACUUACCAGGAAGGUUGGUGAUAUUUGACUUUUCUAAUUUUUUUCCAAAGGAACCAUCUCAUAAUUUGCAUGUAUAGCUACAGAAUUCCUGUUCAUAGCAUUUGGGGCUAGACUGGAUUCUUUAUUAUGCUGUAUAUUCUUUUUAAAGCAUUGUUUUAUUAAAUUGCAAAUUUUCAAAAAUGCAAAACUUUGUCAUUUUCUUAGUGACUCCACUAUAUCAGAGCUAAUUUCAAAAGCGGGAAUAGUGGACUAUCUAGUUACUGUUUUAUCUUUCAGAGCAUGAUUUUCUUGGUAGGUGC